AGGACGAACGCUGGCGGCGCGCUUAACACAUGCAAGUCGAACGUGAAGCUGGAGCUUGCUCCGGUGGAAAGUGGCGAACGGGUGCGUAACACGUGAGCAACCUGCCCCGAAGAAUGGGAUAACACCGGGAAACCGGUGCUAAUACCGGAUACCUUCUUCCGAUCGCAUGGUUGGAUGAAGAAAUGGAUUCCGCUUCGGGAUGGGCUCGCGGCCUAUCAGCUUGUUGGUGAGGUAACGGCCCACCAAGGCGACGACGGGUAGCUGGUCUGAGAGGACGACCAGCCACACUGGGACUGAGACACGGCCCAGACUCCUACGGGAGGCAGCAGUGGGGAAUCUUGCUCAAUGGGCGAAAGCCUGAAGCAGCGACGCCGCGUGCGGGAUGAAGGCCCUCGGGUUGUAAACCGCUUUCAGCAGGGACGAAAUUGACGGUACCUGCAGAAGAAGGCCCGGCAACUACGUGCCAGCAGCCGCGGUAA
RNAcentral lists this ribosomal RNA (479 nucleotides) under uncultured bacterium. RNAcentral's name for it is "SSU rRNA". It matches the Rfam family "Bacterial small subunit ribosomal RNA", at positions 26 to 523 of the family's 1533-position model. The record is from RNAcentral.